Molecule: long non-coding RNA, 1417 nt
Filed under: Mus musculus (house mouse)
Lineage: Eukaryota; Metazoa; Chordata; Mammalia; Rodentia; Muridae
Description: Pvt1 oncogene
Rfam family: Pvt1 oncogene conserved region 1 (bases 10-166)
Source: RNAcentral
GUGUGGCCGCCGAGCACAUGGACCCACUGGUCAAGCGGGCUCGGCAAGGCCAGGAUGAAGAGAAGCUACGAACUUAGCAUUCCCAGAGCCCCCCGAGUGGAUAUCCGCGUGGAAAGGAUGUUGGCAGCCCCGGUGACCUCGGAGUCACGGCUGGAUCCACCCUCUUGUCUGAUUUUCUUAACUCUACUACGGUAAGAAGAUGCCCUCCAUCAGCAGGCCGUGUCUGCUGGGACCUCUCUGGAGACUUCCUGAACCCUGUGGAUUUACAGUAAGAUGCAGUUUCCUGGGGAGUAAUUCUGGUGGAUACAAAUUCCGGAGUAUUACACCUGGCUUGCCUGGAGAUGUUACAAGUAGCUGGAUGGAUUCUUCAGCCUGGAUGCCCACUGAAAACAAGGACCGAAACUAAGAGGAUUGUAUCUCUACCCUUGACUCAAUGAGAAUGUUUGUUGUCAUCUCUCGGGCUACCUGGAGCUCCCUCUAAAAUUAUACCCUUUAAGCGUUCCAGAAGGAUUUUGAGAUCCUUUCCUAAAUCAAAGGUGGAAUAUUUGGGGAUUUGGAAAAUUGAGAAGCCAGUCUCUCAGAAGAACCAGUUGUGUUACUUUGCUGUGAGAUGCCUGCCCUAAGAGAGGAGCAGAAGGUCGGAACGGGUCCUCUAAUGUGAUAAUUAGAUGUGAAGCGUUGACUUAAGAGAUGCCAAGUAACUCAGCAGAUGUCACACAGACGAUAAAUAGCAAAGAUGGAAGUCUUCAUGCCGGAGGCAAUCCUAUAAGACAGCUGAGUUCUGCAGAGCUGGUAGGAGACAGACUUGCUCAGGUGAUAGAUCCAGCCAUGAUACUGACCCUAAGAGAAUGAGACGCUCUGCAGAAGACAGAAGAUUCCUGAAACUGGGAAAGGUGCCUAGAAAUCCUGAUAAGAGUGAAGAAGGAGCUGGCAGAGCAGCCUUCCUCCGCACUAUGAAAGACAUCCAACAGAGAGCAAGUUCCCACCUCACUUCCAGCUUGACUCCUUUUUAUCUCCUAACUGUGGUCUGUGAUGUCUUCAGCAAUGGGUACCUGGAGGCACAGCAGCCAUGUUGAACCUAUGAGGUGAUGAAAAACCAUGCAACUAGAAACCAGAAUGGAAGAAAAGAAGAAGCUGGAUCCUUGACUGAAUUGUCGAUGGGGGAUAGUCCAUCAUCCCAGGGCUAAGACCACCUCCAGAUUUCUUGUUUGGUGAAACAAGUCCUGAUUGUUUACAUUCCCUCGUGUUGAGCUGUCUCUUGCUUGUAGCUGAAAGCAUUUCUAAUAGAUAUUCAGAUUAUCAGCCUUAGCUCCAAGCUAGAAUACUCUAUGGGACCUUAGCUUCUCCAUGAAUUCCUUUGCUCAUCUGUGUAAUGCUCAAUAAAUGUAAAUUGAACCCUGAAUGAGGGACAAUGACA